Molecule: long non-coding RNA, 841 nt
Filed under: Brachypodium distachyon (stiff brome)
Lineage: Eukaryota; Viridiplantae; Streptophyta; Magnoliopsida; Poales; Poaceae
Description: long non-coding RNA (BDIS_LNC005811)
Source: RNAcentral
UAAUUAAUGAAACUAAUAUGAAGUUCCUAAUGUUGGUAGAUUUUUUAAUAAACUUGGUCAAACAUGAUAAAGUUUGGGACAAAGUUACGACUUCUUAUAUUUAAGAACAGAGCGAGUUCUUUAUCAAAUAAAUUAAACAAAAGAUAAUACAAGCAAUGGAUAGCAAGCGCAAAACAACCAAUAAAAAUCACAAUACAUAGAAAAUCGUAAUUGUUGUCUUCUUCCUUCGCUUGCUCUUCGUCAUCUAGAGAUUGAAAAAUGCAUUGAACAGACUGUAAGGGAUAGCGACACCUGCAAAUGCCUAGCCAUAGAGCGCUUUGAAGACCACAAUAACCACUUACCACAAACAAGGAGAUCUAGUAGUCGUCCAAUGAAUUAACAUCAGUUGGGGCAUCACUCCACGCAACACAGGCGUCUACUCCAUCACCACCUAUCCAGUGGGUACAAGAAACCAGAUCUUGUCGUACAACACGAUGAAAGAAGAGGUCGAAGUUGCCACUCCAAAAAUCAUCCAAUUAUUUUCCUUGAUAGACACACCAACUUCCAAGAUCCGAAGAGAACCAACCGAUCGGCGACACUAACCCUCACAUGUCGUUCGUUGACGCCGAGAUAUCCGCCCUCGGGGAAGGGAGAGGCCGUAGAGACCUUAUUCCAACGUGCGAUCGUCAAUGCCUCUAGGAAGACCAAAACCAAAGGAAGACAAGACCUACAAAAAAGAAAACAAAAAAGAGGAGGUGCCCCUUCUCCUCUGGCUGCUUUAAGGAAGGGAGAGGAGUGGGACCGGAGUGGCUGCAUGCUUGUUGAGCCCUCGGUGGCGGCUAGGGUUGGGAGAUGCAAUCUA